Gallus gallus (chicken) is the source of this 2200-nucleotide long non-coding RNA. NCBI's taxonomy places the organism in Eukaryota, Metazoa, Chordata, Aves, Galliformes, Phasianidae. The record is from Ensembl.
AGGGAGUAUUGGUACCGGGCAGAGGCUGCGGUCCCACCUCCAAUGCCUCGGGGGUGGCUGCAGCCGCCGGUCCGGGCACAGCGGCCACACGGUGUCACCCGCGUCCCACCGCCGGGCUCCGACAGGGCAGAGCAGCGAUGCUCUCCGGUGAGCGCUCCGGAACAAGGAAGCGCUGCCGGCCUGGAAUCGCAACCCCUUUUUCACGGCGUUUUUGAGAGCUAGGAUGCUGCCAAGUUUUUCCACCUGUUCUUUCCUUCCCCAUCCAUGAGAAAGUCUCCCAGGAGAGGAAUUACCACGGUCCAGUGCAGCCACAAGCAGGUUAAAAAGAAGGAUCCCAGUCCUGCUGCUGAUGGGUCUCCAGACAGCUUGGGUGUAACUUUCCACUUGGAUGUUCACAGUGUUUGGGAUACAGGUUCCUUUUCACAACCUUCCGUGGAAAGCUGCAGGAAUCUUAGUCCCUGCAGAACCCCAGGGAAAUGGCACAAAUGAGUCCUUAUUACACUGCCCUUCCCAUGGCUGUGACACUGAGAUCUGUUGGCUGCUUUGGCAUCAUGAGAACCAAAGGAGGAAAGCCAUCAAAUGCACACGCCUUUUGCAUAAAUCCAUGUUUCCUUAAGCUACUCUACAAGUUGUGUGCUAUCACUAGGGCCAGAGGGGCCAUGUUUGCAUGGAAGGAGGACCACAUGUGUACAUGACAAAGGAUGAAGCGCUGGAAGCUCUUCAUUCUCAUGAGCAAAGGGCUUUGGGUGGGUCCCUUCGUGCCCCUUUCCUCUGCUUAUUUAGGUCCCCCUGACCCAUCGGAGUGGGAGAUCAGGUCUGUUAAGAGCAUAUGGAGUCAUUCCACAUCACUAAGUUAGCCUGGAAAUGGGAGCUGGCAGCAGCUGUUAUGUAUUACCACUCGACAGAGGGUUGGCUGCCUGUCAGAUUUGUCUGUAGAGUCUCCCUGCACAGGCAUGCAUGUCCCCAUUGCAAACAAAUCAGCUUCCCAAAUGACAUCCACAGUGCCUUCUCUUCAGAAACCCCAGAGACUCUCUCAUCCAUCAGAAGCCAGAGCCAAGCCAUGCUAGGAAGCAGCACAGAGGAGUUGGGCUUUGAAUCCCUCUUGUUUUAUGGAUAGGUCAAGACCUCCAGUCACCAGGGUCAUCAAAGCAAUUAGAGAACAUACUUAAUAAAAGCCUGUGAACAUUCAUUAUCAGACAGAUCACUGCUAUGUGUACAAUGGUACAACACAGAGGCAACCAGAUGGCACUGACCUGUACAAACAUCCUUACUGUGCGCAUGGCUUCUGGGGUUUCCCCUCCAGUUUUCCAGUCAUUACCAAUACCACCACUCAGCUGCCUUCAGUCCUUCCCAAGAAGCCAGGAUCUUCUUUUACCACAGGUGUCAUUUAGGAUAUCGCACUCUUCUCUUUCGUCUGAUGAUGAUUCCAACUAAAGUUAGCAGAGACCAUCGGUCCUGAAGUUCUAGAAGCAUCUGAAAGACUCAUCAGACUUCCAGCCCAAGCAUCCUAGCUUGCCUUGGAGAGCUGUGUGAUGCAACAUCUUCCCAAGAGGGCACCUGCUCUCCAAAAAUUGCAUCUCCCCUUGGUAUUUCUGAACACGAUGCUGUCCCUUGCUGAGCAAACAGCAAGAAAGCAAAAUGGAAACAAGGGAAAAUAUGACACCCUCUGCUAAUAAAUGCAAAACGAUGGAAAACAAUUUUGCCAACUAGGCAACUCAAAUUAGACUUAUCUCUCCGAGGAAUAUGGUCGAUUUGUAGCUCUUAUUACAGUGUAAUGCUAUUUCCCUAAAAGUUUGUGUGUGCAUUUUAAUGAAUUCAUAAAACCCGGACUGUAAAAGCCCCAUGGGGGAAACCUGGCAGCUCUUUAAUUCAGCAUUAAAGCUCAACUGAUGUCAAUUGAAUUGAUUUCUGUGCAUAGAAAUUGCAUUCGUUGAAUGAAAACUUUAGCCCUUGCCAUUCCCCCUUUUAAAGCUCACUGUAUUACAGUUGGCUCCUUGAGUCAGGUUCAAUUACAUGUUGAAAGUUUAUAAUCUGGCGUGCUGAAUAGAGGCUGUGAAAUCAAGAGAGAAAACCUAGCUAACCUGAUUAAACCUUAUACCACAGCCGUCCUGGGGCCAGUGAAUCCUUAUUGUAGCACCAGGGGAUGAGUGUGCAGCACGUCCUGAUUGCAGCCCAAGAUUUUAUUCUGGUAACAGCCACA